UAAGCGGAGGAAAAGAAACUAACAAGGAUUCCCCUAGUAACGGCGAGUGAAGAGGGAAGAGCCCAAGAUUGAAAGCUGGCGUCUUCGGCGUCCGCAUUGUAAUCUCAAGAAGUGUUUUCCGCUUCGGACCAUGCCUAAGUCCCUUGGAAAAGGGCAUCAUAGAGGGUGAUAAUCCCGUACAUGGCAUGGAGCGCCCGAAGCUUUGUGAUACGCUUUCUAAGAGUCGAGUUGUUUGGGAAUGCAGCUCAAAAUGGGUGGUAAAUGCCAUCUAAGGCUAAAUAUUGGGGAGAGACCGAUAGCGAACAAGUACAGUGAUGGAAAGAUGAAAAGAACUUUGAAAAGAGAGUUAAACAGUACGUGAAAUUGCCAAAAGGGAAGGGUAGGAGGUCAGAGAUGCGUUCUGGGAUUCAGCCUUGCUUUUGCUUGGUGUUUUUCCCAGAUUGCAGGCCAACGUCGGUUUUGGUCGCUGGAGAAGGGUGGAAGGAAUGUGGCACCUCUCGGGGUGUGUUAUAGCCUUCUACUGGAUACAGUGACCGGGACCGAGGACAGCAGCGUACUCGCAAGAGCGGGCCUUCGGGCACCUUUACGCUUAGGGCGUUGGCAUAAUGGCCCUCUACCACCCGUCUUGAAACACG
RNAcentral lists this ribosomal RNA (635 nucleotides) under Ustilago abaconensis. Its description in RNAcentral is "eukaryotic LSU rRNA". It matches the Rfam family "Eukaryotic large subunit ribosomal RNA", at positions 47 to 663 of the family's 3401-position model. The record is from RNAcentral. Lineage: Eukaryota; Fungi; Basidiomycota; Ustilaginomycetes; Ustilaginales; Ustilaginaceae.